RNAcentral lists this unclassified non-coding RNA (638 nucleotides) under Hevea brasiliensis (rubber tree). The record is from RNAcentral. Lineage: Eukaryota; Viridiplantae; Streptophyta; Magnoliopsida; Malpighiales; Euphorbiaceae.
GCUUCAUUCAAGCAGCAAAUCCCUUGUAGAUGACAUAAUGCAAUCUUCUAUUCCUUAAGGAUCUUGCAGUUAUUGGCUAAAUAUCCAAUACUUACUUUUGUUGCACGACCAAACCUUAUACCCUACAGUGCAACCACUCAAUUAUGUCAUUCACAAUAUCUUGUCCUUCGGGUUCCAAUAGGAGAUCAUGUAAUAAUCCUUCAAAUAAUUUGAUGGUUUGUCAGUUGAGGACGCUUCGUCAUAUGGUUUUUGUGAAGUUUGAAAUUUUGCUGCAAGUAGUUUGAAAUUUGGAGAAUCUCAUACCCAGUUCUUACUCUAAUGGAACCAGUGUACACUAGCGGUUCUGAAUACUUGGCUAUUAGUGCCUCUCGAUCCCGAGAAACUGGCAUGCCCUUCUUGUUUGCAGCACUAGGUUGCAACCUUGGCAACAAGACUCAGACAAUUGGAGCUAGUACCCAUGGUGAAGAAAAUAAGGAUAUAAUAAAUUUACAGAAGAUCCAGCUCAUCAAUUGCAUGUAUACACAUUUUGGCAUUAAAAAAAAUUAUUCUUCUAUAACCUUUUGGAUUUGAAGGCGAGAUAUAAAUGAAUUUACAAAGGAAAAGGAUUCUUACCCCAAAAAUAGGAUGGGAUGGCUGAA